RNAcentral lists this ribosomal RNA (1523 nucleotides) under Afrarchaea sp. 1 HMW-2014. Its description in RNAcentral is "partial 28S ribosomal RNA". It matches the Rfam family "Eukaryotic large subunit ribosomal RNA", at positions 78 to 1139 of the family's 3401-position model. Lineage: Eukaryota; Metazoa; Arthropoda; Arachnida; Araneae; Archaeidae. The record is from RNAcentral.
CCCUAGUAGCGGCGAGCGAACCGGGAUGAGUCCAGCGCCGAAUCCGGGUGCGCCUGCGCGCGUGCCUGGAAAUGUGGCGUAUGGGAGGCUGCGUGCCGCCGGCGAAGUCCUUGGAGCAAGUCCCCUUGAUUGGGGCGAGCGUAAUGCGACCAAAGCGGGUGCGAGUCCCGUAGCCCUUGGUAACUGUCGGCGGAGUGCGGUCUCUCGUGAGUCGGGUUGCUUGAGAGUGCAGCCCUAAGAAAGGUGGUAAACUCCAUCUAAGACUAAAUACGACCUCGAGACCGAUAGCGAACAAGUACCGUGAGGGAAAGUUGCAAAGAACUUUGAAGAGAGAGUUCAAGAGUACGUGAAACUGUUCAGAGGAAAACGGGUGGGCGUUCGAACCCCCCCUCGGCGGUUACCCGGAUUCAGUCCGUCGCCUUUGCCGGAGAGUUAUCGUUCGUCCGUUGCCGUAUCGGUGGCCGAUUUCGGGCCCGAUAUUUGUGUGUUUGCGACGGCGGUUCGGUUUUCUUGCGGCGAUCCGCGGCGGACGCAUUUCCGUGGUUCCGCCCGAGUACAGGGCGCUGCGACCGAUCGGGCAAGCAAAGAGUGCCGGCCGUGGGCCGAGUAUGCGGUUAGGAGCGCUGUUCGCGAGUGCGGGUUCGCGCCCGCGCGAGCGUCAGUGUGCUCCUCCGGCUCGGCGUUAACUGCGGUCGGUCGCCCGAUCGGUGUGUGCAGAAGUGCAGUGGUGUGCGGUGCUCUCGUGAAAACCGAGUCGAACCGAGGCGUCGUAGAAAGUAACGUGGUUCCGCCGGUUAGCAGUGUGCGCGUCUCCGGACGCGCCACCGAUUGAUUUCAAAAAAAAGCUUUCCGGGCAGUGUGUAUGAACCUCGCGCCUCGGUUUUUUUAAGGCUCGGUGAGUNNNNNNNNNNNNNNNNNNNNNNNNNNNNNNNNNNNNNNNNNNNNNNNNNNNNNNNNNNNNNNNNNNNNNNNNNNGACCAAGGAGUCUAACCCGUAUGCGAGUCGUAGGGUCUUGCGUAGGCCCCGUGGCGUAGCGAAAGCAAAGUCGAGACAUUGGUUUUCAUUUUCUGCCUUUAGCAUCGGCGGCCCGGCGGUGCGGCCGGCUGGCACGGCCCGUUCGGGUCAAACCGAACGGCGAGUCGUGCCCGGCUCGUCGGAGUCUGAGCAUACGAGUUGGUACCCGAAAGAUGGUGAACUAUGCCCCGCCAGGGCGAAGUCGGAGGAAACUCCGGUGGAGGCCCGAAGCGGUUCUGACGUGCAAAUCGAUCGUCGGAGCGAGGUAUAGGGGCGAAAGACUAAUCGAACCAUCUAGUAGCUGGUUCCCUCCGAAGUUUCCCUCAGGAUAGCUGGCAUUCGUGAAACUCAGUCUCUCCUCGUAGAGAGAAUGAAUAGAGGCCCUGGGGCCCUAGACGACCUCAACCUAUUAUCAAACUGCUACGAGGUGCGUCUGUAGGUUGUUGGACUUGCUGACUUGAAGUCUACCUACGCUAUGGGAUGUGUGAGUGCCGUGUGGGCCACUUUUG